UACAGAGGGUGCAAGCGUUAAUCGGAAUUACUGGGCGUAAAGCGUGCGCAGGCGGUUUGGUAAGACAGAUGUGAAAUCCCCGGGCUUAACCUGGGAAUUGCAUUUGUGACUGCCCGGCUAGAGUGUGUCAGAGGGGGGUGGAAUUCCACGUGUAGCAGUGAAAUGCGUAGAUAUGUGGAGGAAUACCGAUGGCGAAGGCAGCCCCCUGGGAUAACACUGACGCUCAUGCACGAAAGCGUGGGGAGCAAACAGG
RNAcentral lists this ribosomal RNA (253 nucleotides) under uncultured bacterium. RNAcentral describes it as "partial 16S ribosomal RNA". It matches the Rfam family "Bacterial small subunit ribosomal RNA", at positions 524 to 776 of the family's 1533-position model. The record is from RNAcentral.